This 343-nucleotide ribosomal RNA is filed under the name uncultured bacterium. RNAcentral describes it as "bacterial SSU rRNA". It matches the Rfam family "Bacterial small subunit ribosomal RNA", at positions 568 to 913 of the family's 1533-position model. The record is from RNAcentral.
UGCGUAGGCGGUUCUAUAAGUCAGUGGUGAAAUACGGCAGCUUAACUGUCGAGGUGCCAUUGAUACUGUAGAACUUGAGUAUAGACGAGGUAGGCGGAAUUGACGGUGCAGCGGUGAAAUGCUUAGAUAUCGUCAAGAACACCGAUAGCGAAGGCAGCUUACUAGACUAAAACUGACGCUGAGGCACGAAAGUGUGGGGAUCAAACAGGAUUAGAUACCCUGGUAGUCCACACUGUAAACGAUGAUUACUCGAUGUUGGCGAUACACAGCCAGCGUCUUAGCAAAAGCGAUAAGUAAUCCACCUGGGGAGUACGCCGGCAACGGUGAAACUCAAAGGAAUUGA